RNAcentral lists this ribosomal RNA (439 nucleotides) under uncultured Eubacteriales bacterium. RNAcentral's name for it is "bacterial SSU rRNA". It matches the Rfam family "Bacterial small subunit ribosomal RNA", at positions 338 to 795 of the family's 1533-position model. Lineage: Bacteria; Bacillati; Bacillota; Clostridia; Eubacteriales. The record is from RNAcentral.
CCUACGGGGGGCUGCAGUGGGGAAUAUUGCACAAUGGAGGGAACUCUGAUGCAGCGACGCCGCGUGAGUGAUGAAGGCCUUCGGGUCGUAAAACUCUGUCCUAAGGGACGAUAAUGACGGUACCUUAGGAGGAAGCCCCGGCUAACUACGUGCCAGCAGCCGCGGUAAUACGUAGGGGGCAAGCGUUGUCCGGAAUUAUUGGGCGUAAAGGGUGCGUAGGCGGCCUUUUAAGUCAGAUGUGAAAGGUCACGGCUCAACCGUGGUAAGCAUUUGAAACUGGAAGGCUUGAGUUAAGGAGAGGAAAGUGGAAUUCCUAGUGUAGCGGUGAAAUGCGUAGAUAUUAGGAGGAAUACCAGUGGCGAAGGCGACUUUCUGGCCUUUAACUGACGCUGAGGCACGAAAGCGUGGGGAGCAAACAGGAUUAGAUACCCCGGUAGUC